AUUGAACGCUGGCGGCGUGCCUAACACAUGCAAGUCGAGCGGUAACAGGUGUAGCAAUACAUGCUGACGAGCGGCGGACGGGUGAGUAACGCUUGGGAAUCUGCCUAUUAGUGGGGGACAACCCGGGGAAACUCGGGCUAAUACCGCAUACGCACUACGGUGGAAAGCCGGGGACCGCAAGGCCUGGCGCUAACAGAUGAGCCCAAGUCGGAUUAGCUAGUUGGUAGGGUAACGGCCUACCAAGGCGACGAUCCGUAACUGGUCUGAGAGGACGACCAGUCACACCGGAACUGAGACACGGUCCGGACUCCUACGGGAGGCAGCAGUGGGGAAUAUUGGACAAUGGGCGAAAGCCUGAUCCAGCGACGCCGCGUGGGUGAAGAAGGCCUGCGGGUUGUAAAGCCCUUUCAGUGGGGGAAGAAAAGCCUCGAGCUAACACCUCGGGGUCUUGACGUAACCCAUAGAAGAAGCACCGGCUAACUCUGUGCCAGCCGCCGCAGUAAU
RNAcentral lists this ribosomal RNA (504 nucleotides) under uncultured bacterium. RNAcentral describes it as "bacterial SSU rRNA". It matches the Rfam family "Bacterial small subunit ribosomal RNA", at positions 29 to 524 of the family's 1533-position model. The record is from RNAcentral.